Small nucleolar RNA from Myotis lucifugus (little brown bat), 72 nucleotides. Its record names the gene SNORD18. It matches the Rfam family "Small nucleolar RNA SNORD18". Rfam says of the family: U18 is a member of the C/D class of snoRNA which contain the C (UGAUGA) and D (CUGA) box motifs. It is encoded in introns of ribosomal protein L1 in Xenopus and human, and in introns of elongation factor 1 beta in yeast. The record is from Ensembl. NCBI's taxonomy places the organism in Eukaryota, Metazoa, Chordata, Mammalia, Chiroptera, Vespertilionidae.
UCAAAAUGAUGAGAUUCCACUUCAUUGGUCCGUGUUUCUGAAACACAUGAUAUUUGUGGAGGUUCUGAUUUG